RNAcentral lists this ribosomal RNA (422 nucleotides) under uncultured archaeon. RNAcentral describes it as "partial 16S ribosomal RNA". It matches the Rfam family "Archaeal small subunit ribosomal RNA", at positions 323 to 746 of the family's 1478-position model. The record is from RNAcentral.
CUACGGGUGGCUGCAGGCGAGAAAACUUUGCAAUGUGCGAAAGCACGACAAGGUUAAUCCGAGUGGUUUCUGCUAAAGGAACCUUUUGUCGGUCCUAGAAACACCGAUGAAUAAGGGGUGGGCAAGUUCUGGUGUCAGCCGCCGCGGUAAAACCAGCACCUCAAGUUGUCAGGAUGAUUAUUGGGCCUAAAGCAUCCGUAGCCGGCUCUGUUAGUUUUCGGUUAAAUAUAUACGCUCAACGUAUAGGCUGCCGGGAAUACUGCAGAGCUAGGGAGUGGGAGAGGUAGACGGUACUCGGUAGGAAGGGGUAAAAUCCUUUGAUCUAUUGAUGACCACCUGUGGCGAAGGCGGUCUACCAGAACACGUCCGACGGUGAGGGAUGAAAGCUGGGGGAGCAAACCGGAUUAGAUACCCUGGUAGUC